This 1447-nucleotide ribosomal RNA is filed under the name uncultured organism. RNAcentral's name for it is "16S ribosomal RNA". It matches the Rfam family "Bacterial small subunit ribosomal RNA". The record is from RNAcentral.
ACGCUGGCGGCGUGCUUAACACAUGCAAGUCGAACGGAAAGGCCCUGCUUUUGUGGGGUGCUCGAGUGGCGAACGGGUGAGUAACACGUGAGUAACCUGCCCUUGACUUUGGGAUAACUUCAGGAAACUGGGGCUAAUACCGGAUAGGAGCUCCUGCUGCAUGGUGGGGGUUGGAAAGUUUCGGCGGUUGGGGAUGGACUCGCGGCUUAUCAGCUUGUUGGUGGGGUAGUGGCUUACCAAGGCUUUGACGGGUAGCCGGCCUGAGAGGGUGACCGGCCACAUUGGGACUGAGAUACGGCCCAGACUCCUACGGGAGGCAGCAGUGGGGAAUAUUGCACAAUGGGCGGAAGCCUGAUGCAGCAACGCCGCGUGCGGGAUGACAGCCUUCGGGUUGUAAACCGCUUUCGCCUGUGACGAAGCGUGAGUGACGGUAAUGGGUAAAGAAGCACCGGCUAACUACGUGCCAGCAGCCGCGGUGAUACGUAGGGUGCGAGCGUUGUCCGGAUUUAUUGGGCGUAAAGGGCUCGUAGGUGGUUGAUCGCGUCGGAAGUGUAAUCUUGGGGCUUAACCCUGAGCGUGCUUUCGAUACGGGUUGACUUGAGGAAGGUAGGGGAGAAUGGAAUUCCUGGUGGAGCGGUGGAAUGCGCAGAUAUCAGGAGGAACACCAGUGGCGAAGGCGGUUCUCUGGGCCUUUCCUGACGCUGAGGAGCGAAAGCGUGGGGAGCGAACAGGCUUAGAUACCCUGGUAGUCCACGCUGUAAACGGUGGGUACUAGGUGUGGGGUCCAUUCCACGGGUUCCGUGCCGUAGCUAACGCUUUAAGUACCCCGCCUGGGGAGUACGGCCGCAAGGCUAAAACUCAAAGGAAUUGACGGGGCCCCGCACAAGCGGCGGAGCAUGCGGAUUAAUUCGAUGCAACGCGUAGAACCUUACCUGGGUUUGACAUGGAUCGGGAGUGCUCAGAGAUGGGUGUGCCUCUUUUGGGGUCGGUUCACAGGUGGUGCAUGCCUGUCGUCAGCUCGUGUCGUGAGAUGUUGGGUUAAGUCCCGCAACGAGCGCAACCCUUGUUCACUGUUGCCAGCUCGUUAUGGUGGGGACUCAGUGGAGACCGCCGGGGUCAACUCGGAGGAAGGUGGGGAUGACGUCAAGUCCUCAUGCCCCUUAUGUCCAGGGCUUCACGCAUGCUACAAUGGCUGGUACAGAGAGUGGCGAGCCUGUGAGGGUGAGCGAAUCUCGGAAAGCCGGUCUCAGUUCGGAUUGGGGUCUGCAACUCGACCUCAUGAAGUCGGAGUCGCUAGUAAUCGCAGAUCAGCAACGCUGCGGUGAAUACGUUCCCGGGGCUUGUACACACCGCCCGUCAAGUCAUGAAAGUUGGUAACACCCGAAGCCGGUGGCCUAACCGUUGUGGGGGAGCCGUCGAAGGUGGGACUGGUGAUUAGGACUAAGUC